GUUAAUUUCAAGGGGACUCAACCGCUUGGCUAUUAGUUUCUCUUUGUCAGUGAGGGGGUUCAAAUACAAAAAAAUUUACUUGAACCCAUGUGGGAUCGCCCCUGGGUAGCUACUAUGACAAUAUCAGCUCCUGCUAUUUUAAUGGCAUGCCUGAUCUCCUAGCAAUUAUCAAUGUCUUCCUUGUACUGUAUUGCACUUAAAUCACCAUUGUUUCAGACAAAGGUAGUCCCUCAUGUUUGCCUUGGAGUUCUGUUGAUCAUGGGGAGAGAGAGAAAUUAGGCACAAGCCUUUUUUUCCGUGUCCGGAUGUCCUCAACAAGCAUCAAAGGCGCGGUGCUAUAAAAUGUCAUUUAGGCU
Molecule: unclassified non-coding RNA, 356 nt
Filed under: Hevea brasiliensis (rubber tree)
Lineage: Eukaryota; Viridiplantae; Streptophyta; Magnoliopsida; Malpighiales; Euphorbiaceae
Source: RNAcentral